Long non-coding RNA from Coccinella septempunctata (seven-spotted ladybird), 390 nucleotides. RefSeq lists it as uncharacterized. Lineage: Eukaryota; Metazoa; Arthropoda; Insecta; Coleoptera; Coccinellidae. The transcript is spliced from 2 exons. The record is from RefSeq and is a predicted model, not a curated record.
UCUAUAAACGACAGAACCGACCUGAAAAAUUUAUCAAAAAUUUACCAUAGUAUCCUUAAAUAAAAUAAAACUUGUAUUGAGAUGACAUCUGUGAUUCUAAACGUGAAACAUAAUCGAAAUGAAAUAAUAACUUUCAAUACCAUAUUUACUUAUUCAUACAAGCACACAGAUGGCAUCUCAUGUGAUCAAUUGGAAAACUAGGUAGUCAAAAAUGAAACAAUAACAAAUUCAAAUUGACAGAUCCAAUAUAUUUCGUAAUGUUAUAAUAAAUUAAUAAUUUGUAGAUUACAGAUAAAGCAAUGUAAAUGUCCAAGCCAUACCUAUUUCGUAAUCUUGAAAAAGGCUUAUAUACGCCGAAACAUAUGUCGAUUACAAGUUAUAAAAUCUGAA